AUUGAACGCUGUCGGCAGGCCUAACACAUGCAAGUCGAGCGGUAGCACAGAGAGCUUGCUCUCGGGUGACGAGCGGCGGACGGGUGAGUAAUGUCUGGGAAACUGCCUGAUGGAGGGGGAUAACUACUGGAAACGGUAGCUAAUACCGCAUAAUGUCGCAAGACCAAAGUGGGGGACCUUCGGGCCUCAUGCCAUCAGAUGUGCCCAGAUGGGAUUAGCUAGUAGGUGGGGUAACGGCUCACCUAGGCGACGAUCCCUAGCUGGUCUGAGAGGAUGACCAGCCACACUGGAACUGAGACACGGUCCAGACUCCUACGGGAGGCAGCAGUGGGGAAUAUUGCACAAUGGGCGCAAGCCUGAUGCAGCCAUGCCGCGUGUGUGAAGAAGGCCUUCGGGUUGUAAAGCACUUUCAGCGGGGAGGAAGGCGGUGAGGUUAAUAACCUCAUCGAUUGACGUUACCCGCAGAAGAAGCACCGGCUAACUCCGUGCCAGCAGCCGCGGUAAUACGGAGGGUGCAAGCGUUAAUCGGAAUUACUGGGGCGUAAAGCGCACGCAGGCGGUCUGUCAAGUCGGAUGUGAAAUCCCCGGGCUCAACCUGGGAACUGCAUUCGAAACUGGCAGGCUAGAGUCUUGUAGAGGGGGGUAGAAUUCCAGGUGUAGCGGUGAAAUGCGUAGAGAUCUGGAGGAAUACCGGUGGCGAAGGCGGCCCCCUGGACAAAGACUGACGCUCAGGUGCGAAAGCGUGGGGAGCAAACAGGAUUAGAUACCCUGGUAGUCCACGCCGUAAACGAUGUCGAUUUGGAGGUUGUGCCCUUGAGGCGUGGCUUCCGGAGCUAACGCGUUAAAUCGACCGCCUGGGGAGUACGGCCGCAAGGUUAAAACUCAAAUGAAUUGACGGGGGCCCGCACAAGCGGUGGAGCAUGUGGUUUAAUUCGAUGCAACGCGAAGAACCUUACCUGGUCUUGACAUCCACAGAACUUUCCAGAGAUGGAUUGGUGCCUUCGGGAACUGUGAGACAGGUGCUGCAUGGCUGUCGUCAGCUCGUGUUGUGAAAUGUUGGGUUAAGUCCCGCAACGAGCGCAACCCUUAUCCUUUGUUGCCAGCGGUUAGGCCGGGAACUCAAAGGAGACUGCCAGUGAUAAACUGGAGGAAGGUGGGGAUGACGUCAAGUCAUCAUGGCCCUUACGACCAGGGCUACACACGUGCUACAAUGGCAUAUACAAAGAGAAGCGACCUCGCGAGAGCAAGCGGACCUCAUAAAGUAUGUCGUAGUCCGGAUUGGAGUCUGCAACUCGACUCCAUGAAGUCGGAAUCGCUAGUAAUCGUAGAUCAGAAUGCUACGGUGAAUACGUUCCCGGGCAU
This 1362-nucleotide ribosomal RNA is filed under the name uncultured bacterium. Its description in RNAcentral is "bacterial SSU rRNA". It matches the Rfam family "Bacterial small subunit ribosomal RNA", at positions 28 to 1381 of the family's 1533-position model. The record is from RNAcentral.